UUAUAGUCAAGAAAUCUACCGACAAUGAAUUUUUUCAAGUCAGCAUCUUCAGUUUUAUAUUUCUUGUCUAAAGAUUCUCAAAGUUUCUUUGCAAUUUGAAUUGUACAAUACACAUUAUACAAUGUAAUGUCUAAUCCAUUCAUCACAUAAUUUCUGCAAAGGAAAUCAGCAUGUUUCCAUGCAUCAACCGCGACCACUUUUUCCUUGUCAGUUUCUCC
Molecule: long non-coding RNA, 218 nt
Filed under: Panax ginseng (ginseng)
Lineage: Eukaryota; Viridiplantae; Streptophyta; Magnoliopsida; Apiales; Araliaceae
Description: long non-coding RNA (PGIN_LNC003726)
Source: RNAcentral